GUCUACAGUCAUGCCGCCCUGAACACGCCUGAUCCUGUCUGAUUAUGGAAGCUGAGCAAAGUCUAGCCUGGUUUAGGACUUGGAUGGGAGAUCACCUAGGAAGACCAGGUCCUGUAGGCA
RNAcentral lists this ribosomal RNA (120 nucleotides) under Pteropus alecto (black flying fox). The record is from RNAcentral. Lineage: Eukaryota; Metazoa; Chordata; Mammalia; Chiroptera; Pteropodidae.